AAGUGGUGUUACUGUGCAGCUCAUGGCAGUCUCAACUAUGACCAUGUCAGGCAGUUUUCUUUCUGGAAGUGCUGAUGAAGGCAUCCCAAAUAUCUGAAGGGACAUUAGGAUAUAUCAAAAUUUGCUACAGCUGUGAGUGACUUUCAGGCAUUCCUGCAGAAGACAUCACCUGGACAGUGUGUAAGUGAACAGCAUUAAUGCCUCCACUCUGGAGGUACCUGUGUCAGGCUUUCUUCUGGAAAGUUCCCCUGCUGAAGUGUCAGGAGAAAGGAGCCAUGCUGCGUGUUGUCAGACUUGGAGAUGUGACAUUGUGUGAGGAGGUGGCAGUGAUGGGACAGCAUCUGAUAGCUCAGCUCUGCAGUGUGGUGGCAGCAUUCUUCUGCAAUAGAACCUGUGUGUCAGCAUUGUGAAUACAGAGCAAUGGUUCACCUACCUGGCCAGGAGAAGCAGAGCUGGCAGCACGUCAGGGAUCCCCAGAGGGUGGAGAAGGAGCCCCGUUCAUUCCCCGUGCGAGGUGAGCGCGAUCUGCUCCGGCCCCAGGUCCUGCAGUGUCACUGCCACCACAUUGGUCAUGGACAGGCACACUGGGAGGGACAAACACUCUGCAGCAGCAUUUGCAGUGAGGCAGCAGGUGCUG
Molecule: non-coding RNA, 637 nt
Organism: Zonotrichia albicollis (white-throated sparrow)
Lineage: Eukaryota; Metazoa; Chordata; Aves; Passeriformes; Passerellidae
Source: RefSeq, a predicted model, not a curated record